GAAGACCUAGAAGUGGACGGAGUCACAGA
RNAcentral lists this small RNA (29 nucleotides) under Bombyx mori (domestic silkworm). RNAcentral's name for it is "ovarian small RNA-2659". Lineage: Eukaryota; Metazoa; Arthropoda; Insecta; Lepidoptera; Bombycidae. The record is from RNAcentral.